AUUCGCCGGCUCCGUCUUCGUCUCCAGUCGAUCGACGAGCAGACCCGCCGGAGCUCCACCACGCCUCCUUCGCCAGGCAGCCACGGCGCUCACCGGAUACUCACGCCGGCCUCCUCCGUCUUGCGCCCACCGUCCAGCACCGGCAUCCUCGGUGAAUCCGGCAGUAGAGAGGAGGCAUCGCCUCCUUCUCCCUCUCUCAGCCGCGGCCUGCAGCUGCUCCGCUCGCUCGUCGCCCGGCAGCCCCUCCGCCUAAGCUAAGUCACCUUCUAUUUUCUCCUUUACUCAAUUUCUUUAAUUUCUAGCUGAUUGGUGAUUGAUGGUAUUUCGUAUGAUCUUGUUGGAGUAUUUAAAUUCCAUGAUCCAAUUUUUUUGAGUGCUCACUGGAAAGAUCUUUGGCUAUGGUAUUAAAGUUCUAAUUUUUCAUUUGGGGCUUUUAGCUCAUUGUGAAGACUUGAUGGUUCUUGCUACUGAUCCAUACUUGAUUGUGAGGAUCCUAUGGAAGUUCUAAGUUCUUGUGCUAUCUAUAUUUGUUGUUCUACAUGAUGCAAAGGUUAUUGGGUGUUGAGGUUGUUACCUCACUUUGAUGAAUCCUCUCGGAUGGGGACCGAUGUCCUGUCUCAGAAUCUCCUCCUUGCUCCUCCUCCCUUCCUUGCUGUAUUGCUUGACUUUAUGUGAGUUUGGGGUGUCGAUUUUGUGGGGAGGAGAAGGGAGAUGAGGCUGCUUAUAUAGUGCUCUAUUCCUUGGCUGUUUGUGCUUGAAACUUGGAGGCAAAGGCUCCUAUUUUGGGGCUGCCAGCUCCAUCUCUUUUGAGCUUGAUGUUCAUGUUAUUUUUACUACUUUGGUGUAAGUUUUGGCACACUAGCUUGGCUGACCUCAUGGAUCUCCGCAAGUUUCCUCUUUUAGUGCCCUCAAAUGAGCUCAUAUUCUUGUCCCAAUUGUCUCUUUUCUUAAUUGGGAGAUUUAGAAAUCUUGACUCUAUCCAAUCCUUAGUCUUGGCAGAGACUUGAUUCUCUUAAUCCAUAAUUGUUCACUAUUUUCUUGGUUUACUUUUGAUUAUUGUCUUACUCAUGGUACCAGAGGAAUAAGGGGUACAACUGCACCCCCAAAAUUUUAAACUAACUAUAUUGAAAUCUUGUUUGACAUGGUAUAUGUAAUCUAAAUGGUUCAGUGGUUGGAGUCUUCAAUGGUUGUGCCACCUUGGAGCCUUGCAGGCUGCAUAUUCGAGGGGGAGAGGAUGGAGUAAUGGAAAGGGAAUCUAUUCUUGUAGCUCUUUGGUUCAUAUACCAAUUUAGACUAUUUCCAAACUUGUUGACUAGAGUAGUAGGAUGAUAGGUGUGUCUGUUGUCACUCUCACAUUUGUAACUUGUAAGCAUGUGCUAUUUCCAUCAUUCUUGUAUAACUUAUUCCUCAAAUAUUUAUCUAAUUGAACACAUAAUUUCCUUGCA
Non-coding RNA from Salvia hispanica, 1445 nucleotides. The record is from RefSeq and is a predicted model, not a curated record. NCBI's taxonomy places the organism in Eukaryota, Viridiplantae, Streptophyta, Magnoliopsida, Lamiales, Lamiaceae.